UGCUUCUAAUGUGAAGAUGAGUUAGGCAUCUUUCUAUUGGCAAGCA
Molecule: non-coding RNA, 46 nt
Filed under: Ananas comosus (pineapple)
Lineage: Eukaryota; Viridiplantae; Streptophyta; Magnoliopsida; Poales; Bromeliaceae
Source: RNAcentral